AGUUGAAAACUCCCAAACCCUUUGUCGUCCUUACCUUUUUGUUGCUUCGGCGCCGCCCUCACCGGCGCGCCGGAGGUUUUAAACUUGAAUUUUUAGUGUAUCUCUGAGCCUAACGGCAAUCUAUAACAACUUUCAACAACGGAUCUCUUGGUUCUGGCAUCGAUGAAGAACGCAGCGAAAUGCGAUAAGUAGUGUGAAUUGCAGAAUUCCGUGAAUCAUCGAAUCUUUGAACGCACAUUGCGCCCGCCGGUAUUCCGGCGGGCAUGCCUGUUCGAGCGUCAUUUCGACCCCUCAAGCCUCCGGCUUGGUGUUGGGGCUCCCGCGCCAGCGGGGCCCUCAAGUGCAUCGGCGGGCUCGCCGGACACUGAGCGCAGUAAACAUUCUCCGUUCGGCCUGUCCCGGUGGGUUCUUGCCGCUAAACACCCCAAUUUUUAAGGUUGACCUCGGAUCAGGUAGGAAUACCCGCUGAACUUAAGCAUAUCAAUAAGCGGAGGAAAAGAAACCAACAGGGAUUGCCCUAGUAACGGCGAGUGAAGCGGCAACAGCUCAAAUUUGAAAUCUGGCCCUCGGGUCCGAGUUGUAAUUUGCAGAGGAUGCUUCCGGCGACGCGCCCACCGAGUCCACUGGAAUGUGGCGCCAUAGAGGGUGAGAGCCCCGUAUGGUGGGAUGCCGAACCGGUGUGAAGCUCCUUCGACGAGUCGAGUAGUUUGGGAAUGCUGCUCUAAAUGGGAGGUAUAUUUCUUCUAAAGCUAAAUACUGGCCAGAGACCGAUAGCGCACAAGUAGAGUGAUCGAAAGAUGAAAAGCACUUUGAAAAGAGGGUUAAAAAGUACGUGAAAUUGUUGAAAGGGAAGCGCCCGUGACCAGACUCGGGCCAGGCGGAUCAUCCGGCGUUCUCGCCGGUGCACUCCGCCCGGCUCGGGCCAGCAUCGGUUUUCGCCGGGGGAUAAAGGUGCCGGGAACGUGGCUCCCUCCGGGGAGUGUUAUAGCCCGGUGCGCAAUGCCCCGGCGGGGACCGAGGACCGCGCUCG
This 1030-nucleotide ribosomal RNA is filed under the name Ophioceras sp. RNAcentral describes it as "eukaryotic LSU rRNA". The stretch from base 439 to 1030 matches the Rfam family "Eukaryotic large subunit ribosomal RNA", at positions 1 to 603 of the family's 3401-position model. The record is from RNAcentral. Lineage: Eukaryota; Fungi; Ascomycota; Sordariomycetes; Magnaporthales; Ophioceraceae.